This 1070-nucleotide ribosomal RNA is filed under the name uncultured Gammaproteobacteria bacterium. RNAcentral's name for it is "bacterial SSU rRNA". It matches the Rfam family "Bacterial small subunit ribosomal RNA", at positions 8 to 1066 of the family's 1533-position model. Lineage: Bacteria; Pseudomonadati; Pseudomonadota; Gammaproteobacteria. The record is from RNAcentral.
AGAGUUUGAUCCUGGCUCAGAUUGAACGCUGGCGGCAUGCCUAACACAUGCAAGUCGAACGGCAGCAUAUCCUGCUUGCAGGAUGAUGGCGAGUGGCGGACGGGUGAGUAAUAUAUAGGGAUCUGCCUAUUAGUGGGGGACAACGUGUGGAAACGCACGCUAAUACCGCAUACGCUCUACGGAGGAAAGUGGGGGACCUUUCUUAGGCCUCAUGCUAAUAGAUGAACCUAUAUUGGAUUAGCUAGUUGGUAAGGUAAUGGCUUACCAAGGCGACGAUCCAUAGCUGGUUUGAGAGAAUGAUCAGCCACACUGGGACUGAGACACGGCCCAGACUCCUACGGGAGGCAGCAGUGGGGAAUAUUGCACAAUGGAGGAAACUCUGAUGCAGCAAUGCCGCGUGUGUGAAGAAGGCCUUCGGGUUGUAAAGCACUUUCAACAGUGAGGAAAAGCGAUGUAUUAAUAGUGCAUCGCCGUGACGUUAACUGUAGAAGAAGCACCGGCUAACUCCGUGCCAGCAGCCGCGGUAAUACGGAGGGUGCAAGCGUUAAUCGGAAUUACUGGGCGUAAAGCGCGCGUAGGCGGAUAUUUAAGUCAGAUGUGAAAUCCCCGGGCUCAACCUGGGAACUGCAUUUGAUACUGGAUAUCUCGAGUAUGGUAGAGGUGAGUGGAAUUUCAGGUGUAGCGGUGAAAUGCGUAGAGAUCUGAAGGAACAUCAGUGGCGAAGGCGACUCACUGGGCCAUUACUGACGCUGAGGUGCGAAAGCGUGAGUAGCAAACAGGAUUAGAUACCCUGGUAGUCCACGCCCUAAACGAUGUCAACUAGGUGUGUGGGAAUUUAAUUUCUGCGUAUCGAAGCUAACGCGAUAAGUUGACCGCCUGGGGAGUACGGCCGCAAGGCUAAAACUCAAAUGAAUUGACGGGGGCCCGCACGAGCGGUGGAGCAUGUGGUUUAAUUCGAUGCAACGCGAAGAACCUUACCUGGCCUUGACAUGUACGGAAUUUUCUAGAGAUAGAUUAGUGCCUUCGGGAACCGUAACACAGGUGCUGCAUGGCUGUCGUCAGCUCGUGUC